GGAAUCACAGGAAGGAAACCUCCGUGGGCAGCAGGAGCAAGUGCAAUCCCUGGAGACGAGUCGAAGGGGCCCGAGGCCCCGAGAAGGGCAGGAUGCGAUGCUGGGUGUGUGACCUCAGCCAUGGAAGGGCCACCUGCCACCGGGGGGCUGGGCCGUCGGGCCUUUGGUUGUGGAGGGAAAAGAGUGGCCACUUGCUGGAGCUGGGAACGUGCAGUGAUGAGCACUAGGACAAGAGGACCGUGACAAACAGACAUAGAAGAUCUGGAGACUGGGGAAGUCCAAGAUCAAGGCUCCAGCAGAUUCAGUAUCUGGACAGCAUUGAGUUCAUUGCCUCAAAAUUGCUGCGCUCUCCUUCUGCCAGUGCCCAGAGAUGCUCCCCACACCACACUGCACUGCUGGGGGAUGUUAGAGGUGAUUCAAGACAGUUUUUCCUACCUCUUCAGUGCCUCUUUCAGCAAUAUGAAGUUAAAACCAGGUACUAUGAGAACUCACCUGAUUUUUAGUUCUUAUGAAGGUGCUUUCCUUGUGUAAAUAUUUGUUAAAUUGUUUUCCUUGCCAGAGGAAUGAUCAGUGGAGCCUUCUAUUCUGCCACCUUUCUCUGCCUCUCUCCAAUCCUCUUACCUUUUUCACACAGCCUUCGUGGUUAUCACAGAGACUUAAGAUGGAAUGUUAAAUACACUCUUUUAUAUUGGAAAUAAAAUGAAAACCAGAUAUAAACAAAUAAACAAGCCACGGAGAAAAGAAAACAAACUUUGAAUAAUUAAUUUAUUGUAACUCAUAAGCCCAGCGUUGUAUAAAAAAUGUUGUCAUCCUGUUAUAUUUCUUUGUCUUCUUCCUGUUAGCAAGAAUUUGGCUUUUAACUUCUAAGCACUAUCCCUGUUUCUCUGUAGUGGUGCAUCCCAGAAUGGCCAUUCCUAGCUUUUUGAUUAAAUACUCUUUAAAAUAGAAA
RNAcentral lists this long non-coding RNA (949 nucleotides) under Homo sapiens (human). RNAcentral's name for it is "long intergenic non-protein coding RNA 2199". Lineage: Eukaryota; Metazoa; Chordata; Mammalia; Primates; Hominidae. The record is from RNAcentral.